AAAAUAACUCCCCAGCUGUCAGUGGCUUUCUCAGCUGCCAACACAAGAACUUGAUCACACGGAGAAAUUCCAGAAUUGAGGAGAGUCAUCAUGCACACUUUUGAUUCCACCCUGCAGGCUUCCAGGUGGUAGUAGUUGGGGGACACCCCGACCUGCCCUCACCAGUGUUCCCUGAAGGAAGUCUGAAGCUACAGUAAAGACUCGGCUUGUGGAAUCUAAAACGGUUGAAUUUAUAGAAGCAGAGAGUAGAAUGGGAUCAAGAUCUGGAGGCUGGAGAAACUGGAGGUGCAGUGACUGAGACAGGAAAGGCAAGGAUCCCCAUGGAUCCCGUUGACAGUGCAGAGUAAAGAGAGGACCUGGAGGAGGCAACAUUCAAGGGGGGCUAAGCAUGGCUGGCUGGGCUGUGUUGUCACCAGGCUGUGGAAAUAGGGCUCAGCUGGAAUGAGAAAUUUCAAGUCCAUCAUUCGUGACCUGAAAUUAAUCUUAAAACUAAGUAAAAAGGGCCAAGAGAGGCUACCUUUUGAUUUCAUGUUUUAAGAAUAAUAAAAGCAUUAAUGGGUGAAAUUCUGCAUUUCUGAAACUUUAAUAAAGCACCUAACUAUAA
Molecule: long non-coding RNA, 604 nt
Organism: Cynocephalus volans (Philippine flying lemur)
Lineage: Eukaryota; Metazoa; Chordata; Mammalia; Dermoptera; Cynocephalidae
Exons: 2
Source: RefSeq, a predicted model, not a curated record